AUUGAACGCUGGCGGCAUGCUUUACACAUGCAAGUCGAACGGCAGCGCGGGCUUCGGCCUGGCGGCGAGUGGCGAACGGGUGAGUAAUGCAUCGGAACGUGCCCAGUAGUGGGGGAUAGCCCGGCGAAAGCCGGAUUAAUACCGCAUACGACCUGAGGGUGAAAGCGGGGGACCGAAAGGCCUCGCGCUAUUGGAGCGGCCGAUGUCGGAUUAGCUAGUUGGUGGGGUAACGGCUUACCAAGGCGACGAUCCGUAGCUGGUCUGAGAGGACGACCAGCCACACUGGGACUGAGACACGGCCCAGACUCCUACGGGAGGCAGCAGUGGGGAAUUUUGGACAAUGGGGGCAACCCUGAUCCAGCCAUGCCGCGUGCGGGAAGAAGGCCUUCGGGUUGUAAACCGCUUUUGUUCGGGAAGAAAUCCUCUGGGCUAAUACCCCGUGGGGAUGACGGUACCGGAAGAAUAAGCAGCGGCUAACUACGUG
This 484-nucleotide ribosomal RNA is filed under the name uncultured bacterium. RNAcentral describes it as "partial 16S ribosomal RNA". It matches the Rfam family "Bacterial small subunit ribosomal RNA", at positions 28 to 507 of the family's 1533-position model. The record is from RNAcentral.